RNAcentral lists this ribosomal RNA (364 nucleotides) under uncultured bacterium. Its description in RNAcentral is "partial 16S ribosomal RNA". It matches the Rfam family "Bacterial small subunit ribosomal RNA", at positions 282 to 658 of the family's 1533-position model. The record is from RNAcentral.
GGUAGCCGGCCUGAGAGGGCGACCGGCCACACUGGGACUGAGACACGGCCCAGACUCCUACGGGAGGCAGCAGUGGGGAAUAUUGGGCAAUGGANGNAACNCUGACCCAGCGACGCCGCGUGNGGGAUGAAGGCCUUCGGGUUGUAAACCNCUUUCAGCAGGGAAGAAGCGAAAGUGACGGUACCUGCAGAAGAAGCACCGGCUAACUAUGUGCCAGCAGCCGCGGUAAUACAUAGGGUGCAAGCGUUGUCCGGAAUUAUUGGGCGUAAAGAGCUCGUAGGUGGUUCGUCACGUCGGAUGUGAAACNCUGGGGCUYAACCCCAGRCCUGCAUUCGAUACGGGCGANCUNGAGURUGGUAGGGGA